GCCCUACCUAUUUCUUAUCUUACUCUCUCCUUUUGUUAUUGGUUGAAAGUUACUUAUCUUUCUCAUUCAUCCUAUUCUUUUACAUUUUACAAGCGUAUCCGAGCAUCAUUUUUUCUUUUUCUCUUAUCACAAAUAUAGGUGCAAAUCAACAUCUUUGAGUAAGGAAUACCCAUUUGAAUGAUUCAAAAUAAUUACUCAGACUGAAACUUACAUACAACGUCGUCACUUCGAAGAUUCCAUAAAUUCCCGUUCGCUACUUUGACUUUUAUUUUAAAACUUUUUUUCGUCUUUUUUUUUUUUUAUUUUUUAUUGACAUAAACUCAAGUCCUCUAUUAAAAUGAAACAAUGUUGGGAAAUGGUCGGGAUAGCUAAGCUGGUAAAGCAGAGGACUGAAAAUCCUCGGGU
RNAcentral lists this transfer RNA (405 nucleotides) under Gnidia racemosa. Its description in RNAcentral is "partial transfer RNA-Phe". The stretch from base 359 to 405 matches the Rfam family "tRNA", at positions 1 to 46 of the family's 71-position model. The record is from RNAcentral. Lineage: Eukaryota; Viridiplantae; Streptophyta; Magnoliopsida; Malvales; Thymelaeaceae.